RNAcentral lists this ribosomal RNA (734 nucleotides) under Klebsiella pneumoniae. RNAcentral describes it as "bacterial SSU rRNA". It matches the Rfam family "Bacterial small subunit ribosomal RNA", at positions 1 to 722 of the family's 1533-position model. Lineage: Bacteria; Pseudomonadati; Pseudomonadota; Gammaproteobacteria; Enterobacterales; Enterobacteriaceae. The record is from RNAcentral.
ACUUAAAUUGAAGAGUUUGAUCAUGGCUCAGAUUGAACGCUGGCGGCAGGCCUAACACAUGCAAGUCGAGCGGUAGCACAGAGAGCUUGCUCUCGGGUGACGAGCGGCGGACGGGUGAGUAAUGUCUGGGAAACUGCCUGAUGGAGGGGGAUAACUACUGGAAACGGUAGCUAAUACCGCAUAAUGUCGCAAGACCAAAGUGGGGGACCUUCGGGCCUCAUGCCAUCAGAUGUGCCCAGAUGGGAUUAGCUAGUAGGUGGGGUAACGGCUCACCUAGGCGACGAUCCCUAGCUGGUCUGAGAGGAUGACCAGCCACACUGGAACUGAGACACGGUCCAGACUCCUACGGGAGGCAGCAGUGGGGAAUAUUGCACAAUGGGCGCAAGCCUGAUGCAGCCAUGCCGCGUGUGUGAAGAAGGCCUUCGGGUUGUAAAGCACUUUCAGCGGGGAGGAAGGCGAUAAGGUUAAUAACCUCAUCGAUUGACGUUACCCGCAGAAGAAGCACCGGCUAACUCCGUGCCAGCAGCCGCGGUAAUACGGAGGGUGCAAGCGUUAAUCGGAAUUACUGGGCGUAAAGCGCACGCAGGCGGUCUGUCAAGUCGGAUGUGAAAUCCCCGGGCUCAACCUGGGAACUGCAUUCGAAACUGGCAGGCUAGAGUCUUGUAGAGGGGGGUAGAAUUCCAGGUGUAGCGGUGAAAUGCGUAGAGAUCUGGAGGAAUACCGGUGGCGAAGGC